CCUUCGAUAGCUCAGUUGGUAGAGUGGAGGACUGUAGAUCCUUAGGUCGCUGGUUCAAAUCCGGCUUGAAGGA
RNAcentral lists this transfer RNA (73 nucleotides) under Merluccius polli (Benguela hake). Its description in RNAcentral is "tRNA-Tyr". It matches the Rfam family "tRNA". From Rfam's summary of the family: Transfer RNA (tRNA) molecules are approximately 80 nucleotides in length. The record is from RNAcentral. Lineage: Eukaryota; Metazoa; Chordata; Actinopteri; Gadiformes; Merlucciidae.